UAAACAUUAAAACCACCGACCUGUCUCCCCA
RNAcentral lists this non-coding RNA (31 nucleotides) under Mus musculus (house mouse). Lineage: Eukaryota; Metazoa; Chordata; Mammalia; Rodentia; Muridae. The record is from RNAcentral.